This 600-nucleotide unclassified non-coding RNA is filed under the name Hevea brasiliensis (rubber tree). Lineage: Eukaryota; Viridiplantae; Streptophyta; Magnoliopsida; Malpighiales; Euphorbiaceae. The record is from RNAcentral.
AUAGCAGCUGGAUAACCACCCAUAAGCAAUGAUGUCACCCAUAUUAGAAGUGAUUGCAGAAUCACUGAAUUGUGAAGCAUGCUUGCAAAACGUUGAUUGUAUACAAUCAUGUAUGUCCCCAAAAUGUCAAAAAAUACAGCAUUGUCAUGGCCACUUUUUUCCUCUUCUCUCAUUGCCUUGCCUUUUGGAAGAUGAGAUGUUGGAGCUAUCUGAAGUAAAAAAGCAAGCAUAUUCUCCGACAAUGCUGAAGAGAUCCAGAUUUGAGGAACUCCAAUUUGUCAUUCUUAGUGUGAUAUACACCACUGUUAUCUGUGUAAGCAAAGUCAAGCCCUGAAAGACCAGCAACCUCUUUGUAAACUUGGAAAUCUGUAGCAGAUUUAAUCACUCCAGAUGAAAAAAGAUCCUGUGCUACAAUAUGACCAGAUGGGUAUUUUGCUGCCAAUGCAAAGUUCUCAAUAGCAAAUGGAUGAGGACCAGCCUGAAAAAUGCCAGACUUCCCUCCAACACCCAUGGCUUCCAAAUCAAUAGCNNNNNNAAUAGUUCUACUCCAAGGGUGCUGAGUUAUAAAGCUAUGAGCACCAUUUAGACCUUCCUCCUCGC